This 345-nucleotide long non-coding RNA is filed under the name Panax ginseng (ginseng). RNAcentral's name for it is "long non-coding RNA (PGIN_LNC017225)". Lineage: Eukaryota; Viridiplantae; Streptophyta; Magnoliopsida; Apiales; Araliaceae. The record is from RNAcentral.
AAGAAAAGCCCAAGAGUUGAGCACUUGAGCUGAUGAUUCGGAGAGAACUUAGCAGUCAAAUCUAUUAAUUUCUCUCCUGCUGUGAUGUAAUAAUAACAUCAAAUUUGAGAGUGGUUCUAUUAGAUCAUUUAUGUAUAUUUGUUGGACUUGGCCACUUUGCUAUCAUUGCGUCAUACCUAGACGAACCUCAAUAAAUACACCAAAGCUUUAUGAAACAACACGUGUACAUCAGGACUCUUCCUUUACUUUUUUUCUAUCAAUUACGUGGUAAGUUUUGAAAUUUAUGGUAAUACAUAAUAGCAACAUGACUCUUUUAGAAUUGGUAUCCACGAACACAGAAUUUCA